AGAGUUUGAUCCUGGCUCAGAACGAACGCUGGCGGCGUGGAUAAGACAUGCAAGUCGAGCGCUGAUUUGGUGGUAGCAAUAUUGCCAAGUUGGAGCGGCGCAAGGGUGCGUAACACGUGGGAAUCUGCCUUGAAGUGUGGGAUAACUCGUCGAAAGACGAGCUAAUACCGCAUGUGAUCGUAAGAUCAAAGUUGGGGAUCGCAAGACCUGACGCUUCAAGAUGAGCCCGCGGCCUAUCAGCUAGUUGGUGAGGUAACGGCUCACCAAGGCUAAGACGGGUAGCUGGUCUGAGAGGACGACCAGCCACACUGGGACUGAGACACGGUCCAGACACCUACGGGUGGCAGCAGUCGAGAAUUUUUCUCAAUGGGCGAAAGCCUGAAGGAGCGACGCCGCGUGGGGGAUGAAUGGCUUCGGCCCGUAAACCCCUGUCAUUUGCGAACAAAUUGGUUCACCUAACACGUGAACCAUUGAUAGUAGCGGAAGAGGAAGGGACGGCUAACUCUGUGCCAGCAGCCGCGGUAAUACAGAGGUCCCAAGCGUUGUUCGGAUUCACUGGGCGUAAAGGGUGCGUAGGCGGUUGGGUAAGUCUGACGUGAAAUCUCCGGGCCUAACCCGGAAACUGCGUUGGAUACUAUCCAGCUAGAGGAAUGGAGGGGAGACUGGAAUACUUGGUGUAGCAGUGAAAUGCGUAGAUAUCAAGUGGAACACCAGUGGCGAAGGCGAGUCUCUGGACAUUUCCUGACGCUGAGGCACGAAAGCCAGGGGAGCAAAUGGGAUUAGAUACCCCGGUAGUCCUGGCCCUAAACGGUGCGCGUUUGCUGUAAGC
Molecule: ribosomal RNA, 829 nt
Filed under: uncultured bacterium
Lineage: Bacteria
Description: bacterial SSU rRNA
Rfam family: Bacterial small subunit ribosomal RNA
Source: RNAcentral